AUACAGAGGGUGCGAGCGUUAAUCGGAAUUACUGGGCGUAAAGCGCGCGUAGGCGGCUUAUUAAGUCAGAUGUGAAAUCCCCGGGCUCAACCUGGGAACUGCAUCUGAUACUGGUAAGCUAGAGUUUUGGAGAGGGAAGUAGAAUUUCAGGUGUAGCGGUGAAAUGCAUAGAGAUCUGAAGGAAUACCAGUGGCGAAGGCGACUUCCUGGCCAAAAACUGACGCUGAGGUGCGAAUGCGUGGGUAGCAAACGGGAUUAGAAACCCUAGUAGUCC
Molecule: ribosomal RNA, 274 nt
Filed under: uncultured bacterium
Lineage: Bacteria
Description: partial 16S ribosomal RNA
Rfam family: Bacterial small subunit ribosomal RNA
Source: RNAcentral